CUACCUGAGUUAAGCUACGUAAAACAUCCUGAGCGAAGAGUACUUCUACCCGGAACUAUAAGCUGGAUCCCCCUAGGCGAAAAAGGUUCUACCUGGGUUAAACUACGUAAAACAUCCUGAGCGAAGAGUACUUCUACCCGGAACUAUGAACUGGAUCCCCCUAGGCGAAAAGGUUCUACCUGGGUUAAGCUACGAAAAUAACCUGAGCGAAGAGUACUUCUACCCGGAACUAUGAGCUGGAUCCCUCUAGGCGAAAUGGUUCUACCUGAGUUAAGCUACAUAAAACAUCCUGAGCGAAGAGUACUUCUACCCGGAACUAUGAGCUGGAUCCCCCUAGGCGAAAAGGUUCUACCUGGGUUAAGCUACGAAAAUAACCUGAGCGAAGAGUACUUCUACCCUGAACUAUGAGCUGGAUCCCUCUAGGCGAAAUGGUUCUACCUGAGUUAAACUGCAUAAAACAUCCUGAGCGAAGAGUGCUUCUACCCAGAACUAUAAGCUGGAUCCCCCUAGGCGAAAAAUGUUCUACCUGGGUUAAACUACGUAAAACAUCCUGAGCGAAGAGUACUUCUACCCGGAACUAUAAGCUGGAUCCCCCUAGGCGAAAAGGUUCUACCUGGGUUAAGCUACGAAAAUAACCUGAGCGAAGAGUACUUCUACCCGGAACUAUGAGCUGGAUCCCUCUAGGCGAAAUGGUUCUACCUGAGUUAAGCUACGUAAAACAUCCUGAGCGAAGAGUACUUCUACCCGGAACUAUGAGCUGGAUCCCCCUAGGCGAAAUGGUUCUACCCGAGUUAAGCUACGUAAAACAUCCUGAGCGAAGAGUACUUCU
This 829-nucleotide long non-coding RNA is filed under the name Nicotiana tabacum (common tobacco). RNAcentral describes it as "long non-coding RNA (NTAB_LNC004371)". The record is from RNAcentral. Lineage: Eukaryota; Viridiplantae; Streptophyta; Magnoliopsida; Solanales; Solanaceae.